This is a long non-coding RNA of Cannabis sativa, 1950 nucleotides long. RefSeq lists it as uncharacterized. The transcript is spliced from 4 exons. The record is from RefSeq and is a predicted model, not a curated record. NCBI's taxonomy places the organism in Eukaryota, Viridiplantae, Streptophyta, Magnoliopsida, Rosales, Cannabaceae.
AGGCGUUAAACGUUGUCAUUGGUGUUUUGGUUGGUGGGUUUGUAUUGUUUUUCUUGUAUUUUUAUCCGUCUUUAGUAUUAAAACCUAAGAGGUUAAGAUUAAAGCUUCAAAAGCAAGGGAUUCGAGGCCCAUUACCUUCAAAUCUAUUGGGAAAUGUCUCUGAACUGAACAAAAUCAAGCUUCAGUUUAACUCAAAAAGGACUAAUACAAACGACAAACUUCAUGAUGUCGUUUCGAUUGGUCAUGAUUGGCCUUCCAACGUCUUUCCCCAUUUGUUAUUUAUUUAUUUUGUUACGGUGUGAAUUGUGAAUUGAGUUGUGUAGUACUUGAAUGAAAAUAUAUAUGCAGGGCCAAUUUUCCUUUAUGGAGUAGGAAAUACUCAAUUCUUAUUCGUAACAGAUAUAGACAUGGUAAAAGAAGUUAGUCUAAUAAGCACUUCUUUGAAUCUUGGAAGACCUCCUUAUCUCUCCAGGAAUUAUGGACCACUGUUUGGCCAGGGUAUUAUAUCCUCUAGUGGUCAAAUUUGGGCUCAUCAAAAAAAGAUUCUUGCUCCUGAAUUCUACAAUGACAAGGUCAAGGGUAUGGUGAACUUAUGGGUACCCAAUUUUGUGCGCAUGGGUGAGGACUCACACACUGGAUCACCACAUGCGCCCGCCGCCACCGUCCAUCCGGGCCGGGUUGGCGGAAUGUAUCGUACUUAUACAGAGGCUGUUUUAUCCUGGGGACGCCAUGGUUGCUAGACUGCCGUGCACACUUCGGGAAGAGCCGCGAAAACAUGUUAUCAUUGUUUAAUAUUUUCAUGUUAUGUUGUCAAUGUUUAGUUUUAUGUGAGCAGCAACAAUCAUAAUUGUUGUUAAUAUACAAAUGUAUUUAUUUAUAUAUCAGAUUCAUUCCAACAAUGAACAACAUUCAUGUGUGGAGACUAGAGAAACAAAUCAAUGCUAUGAUUUUAGAGGUUGUGAAGCAGAGAACUGAGGCUGCUGAUGAAAAGGAUCUUGUGCAGAUGAUAUUCGAGGGGGCAAAAGCUUAUGGCGGUAUAGAUAGCCCGUCUCUUGGCAUUACUCGGGACGGGAAAAAUGCAUUGUAGAUAACUGCAAGAAUAUAUAUUUUGCUGGCUAUGAGACCACUGAUACUACAGCAUCUUAGACCUUGUUGCUGCUGGCUGCAUAUCCAGCUUGGGAAACUUGUGUUUCGUGAAGAAGUGCAAGAAGUUUGCAAGAAUGGCGUUUUUUAUGCCAAUACUCUCCGGAACUUGAAAGUUCUCACUAUGGUGAUUCAAGAGACUUUGCGCCUUUACCCGCCUGGAGUUUUUAUCACAAGACACGCCUUGCACGAUAUUCAAUUUAAAGACAUUCUAGUUCCAAAAGGAGUAAAUAUUCAAAUUCCAAUCUCUAUAAUGCAACAAGACACUGAUCUGUGGGGUCCUGAUGCCCAACAAUUCAAUCCAGGAAGAUUUGAGCAUGGAGUUCUUGGAGCUUAAGUUUCCUCAAGCUUACAUGCCCUUUGGUGUAGGGACUAGAAUUUGUAUUGGACAGAACAUGGCCAUGACCGAGCUGAAAGUAGUAUUAUUUCUUAUUCUGUCCAAGUUUAGCUUCUCAGUCUCACCGGCUUACCGCCAUUCUGCUGUUUUCGGGGUAGUCAUUGAAUCGGAACAUGGGGUUAAUCUCCAAGUAAGGAGAAUUUGACUUAUGUUAAUCUACAAUUGAUUAUUUAUGAUAAACUAAAUAAUGCUGUCAUUAUGGAUAGUUCUUAUGAUGAUGCGUUCUUGCAUAUGGAAUUUUAAACAAUGAUAUUGUUUACAUCAGGAUUUGAUUUAUCUUCUUCUGUCCCUAAAUCAAAAAAGGGUCAUUUUCUAAACUAGCAAGCUUUCAUAAGAAUAAAUCCUUAGAAAUAUAAGUUUGCAAACAAACUUAUAUUUUAAAACAAUAAUGAUACUACUCCUUGGCUCAA